GUCGUGGCUCAGUGGUAAGUGUAUCUGCUUUGCUUACAGAAUGCCCCAGGUUUAAUCCCUGGCAUCUCCA
Podarcis lilfordi (Lilford's wall lizard) is the source of this 70-nucleotide non-coding RNA. NCBI's taxonomy places the organism in Eukaryota, Metazoa, Chordata, Lepidosauria, Squamata, Lacertidae. The record is from the annotation of a GenBank genome assembly.